GACGAACGCUGGCGGCGCGCUUAACACAUGCAAGUCGAACGGAAAGGCCCUGCUUUUGUGGGGUGCCCGAGUGGCGAACGGGUGAGUAACACGUGAGUAACCUGCCCUUGACUUUGGGAUAACUUCAGGAAACUGGGGCUAAUACCGGAUAGGAGCUCCUGCUGCAUGGUGGGGGUUGGAAAGUUUCGGCGGUUGGGGAUGGACUCGCGGCUUAUCAGCUUGUUGGUGGGGUAGUGGCUUACCAAGGCUUUGACGGGUAGCCGGCCUGAGAGGGUGACCGGCCACAUUGGGACUGAGAUACGGCCCAGACUCCUACGGGAGGCAGCAGUGGGGAAUAUUGCACAAUGGGCGGAAGCCUGAUGCAGCAACGCCGCGUGCGGGAUGACGGCCUUCGGGUUGUAAACCGCUUUCGCCUGUGACGAAGCGUGAGUGACGGUAAUGGGUAAAGAAGCACCGGCUAACUACGUG
RNAcentral lists this ribosomal RNA (468 nucleotides) under uncultured bacterium. RNAcentral's name for it is "partial 16S ribosomal RNA". It matches the Rfam family "Bacterial small subunit ribosomal RNA", at positions 28 to 507 of the family's 1533-position model. The record is from RNAcentral.